This 83-nucleotide transfer RNA is filed under the name Agrobacterium tumefaciens. Its description in RNAcentral is "tRNA-Leu (TAG) (tRNA-Leu-TAG-1-1)". It matches the Rfam family "tRNA". Rfam says of the family: Transfer RNA (tRNA) molecules are approximately 80 nucleotides in length. Their secondary structure includes four short double-helical elements and three loops (D, anti-codon, and T loops). The record is from RNAcentral. RNAcentral also lists the same sequence under 169 other names. Lineage: Bacteria; Pseudomonadati; Pseudomonadota; Alphaproteobacteria; Hyphomicrobiales; Rhizobiaceae.
GCGGGUAUGGCGGAAUUGGUAGACGCAUUGGUUUUAGGUACCAACGCUUCGGCGUGGGAGUUCGAGUCUCUCUACCCGCACCA